CGCGAUUCGCCCUUCGGGGUGCCAGGCGCGAAAACUUUGCAAUACACGAAAGUGUGACAGGGUCAUCCCGAGUGCCGACCGCUGAGGUUGGCUUUUACCCAGUCUAGAAAGCUGGGGGAAUAAGGAGAGGGCAAGUCUGGUGUCAGCCGCCGCGGUAAUACCAGCUCUCCGAGUGGUGUGGACGUUUAUUGGGCCUAAAGCAUCCGUAGCUGGCUGAACAAGUCCCCUGUUAAACCCACCGAUUUAAUCGUUGGUCUGCGGGGGAUACUGCUCGGCUAGGGGACGAGAGAAGCAGACGGUAUUCCCGGGGUAGGGGUGAAAUCCUAUAAUCCCGAGAAGACCACCAGUGGCGAAGGCUGUCUGCUAGAACGCGCCCGACGGUGAGGGAUGAAAGCUGGGGGAGCGAACCGGAUUAGAUACCCGGGUAGUCCCAGCUGUAAACGAUGCAAACUAGGUGUUUGGACGGCCACGUGCCGUUCUAGUGCCGCAGGGAAGCUGUUAAGUCUGCCGCCUGGGGAGUACGAUCGCAAGAUUGAAACUUAAAGGAAUUGGCGGGGGAGCAC
Molecule: ribosomal RNA, 563 nt
Filed under: uncultured archaeon
Lineage: Archaea
Description: bacterial SSU rRNA
Rfam family: Archaeal small subunit ribosomal RNA
Source: RNAcentral